RNAcentral lists this ribosomal RNA (1227 nucleotides) under human gut metagenome. RNAcentral describes it as "bacterial LSU rRNA". It matches the Rfam family "Bacterial large subunit ribosomal RNA", at positions 1681 to 2925 of the family's 2925-position model. The record is from RNAcentral.
CUAAGGCCAACGGGAGAAGGGUUGUUAAGGAACUCGGCAAGUUGACCCCGUAACUUAGGGAUAAGGGGUGCUCAAGUGAUUGAGCCGCAGAGAAUAGGCCCAGGCGACUGUUUAGCAAAAACACAGGUCUCUGCUAAAUCGAAAGAUGACGUAUAGGGGCUGACACCUGCCCGGUGCCGGAAGGUUAAGAGGAGAUGUGAGAGCAUUGAAUUGAAGCCCCGGUAAACGGCGGCCGUAACUAUAACGGUCCUAAGGUAGCGAAAUUCCUUGUCAGGUAAGUUCUGACCCGCACGAAAGGUGUAACGAUCUGGGCACUGUCUCAACAACCCGCCCGGCGAAAUUGUAGUACCGGUGAAGAUGCCGGUUACCCGCGACUAGACGGAAAGACCCCAUGGAGCUUUACUGUAGCCUAAUAUUGGAUUUCGGUAUUUCACGUACAGGAUAGGUGGGAGACUGGGAAGCACAGGCGUCAGCUUGUGUGGAGUCGACCUUGGGAUACCACUCUUGGAGUGCUGGAAUUCUAACCUGCGGCUUUGAAGCAAGUCGGGGGACAUUGUUAGGUGGGCAGUUUGACUGGGGCGGUCGCCUCCUAAAGAGUAACGGAGGCGCUCAAAGGUUCGCUCUGCAUGGAUGGAAACCAUGCGUCAGAGUGUAAACGCAAAAGCGAGCCUAACUGCGAGAAUGACGGUUCGAGCAGUAACGAAAGUUGGAGUUAGUGAUCCGGCGGUAUGUGAAUGGAAAUGCCGUCGCUCAACGGAUAAAAGCUACCCUGGGGAUAACAGGCUGAUCUCCCCCAAGAGUCCACAUCGACGGGGAGGUUUGGCACCUCGAUGUCGGCUCAUCGCAUCCUGGGGCUGAAUUCGGUCCCAAGGGUUUGGCUGUUCGCCAAUUAAAGCGGUACGCGAGCUGGGUUCAGAACGUCGUGAGACAGUUCGGUCCCUAUCUGUCGUGGGCGUAGGAUAUUUGCAAGGAGCUGUCCCUAGUACGAGAGGACCGGGAUGGACGCACCUCUGGUGCACCAGUUGUCACGCCAGUGGCACAGCUGGGCAGCUAUGUGCGGAACGGAUAAACGCUGAAGGCAUCUAAGCGUGAAGCCGCCCUUAAGAUAAGAUAUCCCUUCUGUUUACAGAGUAAGACCCCUUGAAGACUACAAGGUUGAUAGGCUCAAAGUGUAAGCACGGUGACGUGUUUAGCUAGCGAGUACUAAUCGGUCGAGGGCUUAACCUU